This is an RNA transcript of Alligator mississippiensis (American alligator), 18626 nucleotides long. RefSeq lists it as uncharacterized. The record is from RefSeq and is a predicted model, not a curated record. The transcript is spliced from 4 exons. Lineage: Eukaryota; Metazoa; Chordata; Crocodylia; Alligatoridae.
GGAAGGGAGCUUCCGCCUCCUCUGCCCACGUGGGAGUUAGGAACGGCUGCACUGGCGCACGUGGCGGCUGCGGCGGGAAGCAGCGGGCUGGGUGCUGGUGGCGAAGUGGCGCUGCUCGGCGGGGCGCGGUUCGGGGCGGAGCAGUGGCCGGAGCCGGGCGGCGGUGCAGGGGCCGGGCGCGCUGAGCCCCUUUCCCCGCUGCCCGCGGCUGCCGGGCUGGGCCGGGGGCAGGAGGCGCGGCGGGGCUCGCGCAGGCCCGCUCCGCUCCCGGGGCCGUGCUGCAGCCUGCCGCUCUGGAGGGCCCUCAGCGGGGCCCUGGCCCUGGCCCUGGCCCUGGCCGUGGUGGCGCUCCUGGCCGCGUGGCCCUGGCGGGUGGCUGGAACAUGCUGGGCUCUUGAUGUGUCAGAAAAAUGUGCAACCUGCCCAGAAGACUGGAUCAGGUUGGAUAGCAACAUGACUGGAGGACGAUGUUACUAUUUUUCUAGUGAAUCUAAGGUUUGGGGUACCAGUAGGGACAUCUGUGGCUCACAUAAUGCCACUCUGGCUAUGAUAAAGGAGCCGCUAGUCCUGAUUGAACUCCGGUUGAUUAUACAUCAACAUUUCAUUUGUCAAGGGACUCGUGGUGGUGUGACUUGUCCCCCAAUGGAGAAGUUGCGAGAUUGGCAUGUCUACCUGUCGCCCUUCAAAACAGGUUUAAAGAGUGGCUGAAUGCACCAUUGCUCUUCCACCAGUAGUAGCUAAAACACCAUACAUCCCAACAUGUCUGGUGCUAAACAAGUGUCCAUAAGUUCCCCUGACUCUCAGCUCUGAGAAAAGCACCCAUUGGUUGUUCAAGUUGUGGAUGGGUGACAGAAUUUGCAUUGAAGGGAUUUUGGUGUGAUUUGCUGCACAGCUCAGGCUCUUAAGUGCCUGCCUGAAUUUUCACUACAUUUGUGUUGCCACCACUGACUUGGACCUGGAGUUUCCACCGCCAACAGCUGCCAUAUAUGCAUACAUGGUUGUCACCUUGCAGACCUUCUGGCCUAAUGUGAACUUGUGCGGGAGAUUGCUUUUUCCACUCAAUGUCAGCAAAUCAUGAUGGAUGCCAUGACUUCUUUUAUCAAUGCCAAUAACAGUGGAGCCAUAUUUGUGGGGAAAAGCCUCAUGUAUAUCUUCGUUGCCAGUGAAUGGAGGAUUCAUGGCUACAUCCAGAUUCUAGUCUGACAGCAGCUGCUGCCCUGAAGAUGUUUUGGCUGCAGGUUAACAUGUUGUUGUCAGGCCCAUGAGGGAGUGAUUCCAAACUGCAGAAUGACAUUUCUGGGCCAGGGGUAUAAGCAGCAGCUGGUGGGAAUGAAUCCUCAUGGCCACUUGAGACAACAAGCAGUGGACUUCCAUGUGUCCAAGAACACCUUCAUGGAGAUUCGUGCUGACCUUGUCUUACACAUGCAGUAAUAGACAGAGAAUCUCAUUGGAAAACGAAGGCCCAAGCCUGGAUUGUGCCUACCUAAACGCAGAGAAAUUGGUUGCUGUUGAAUGUACAUCUGUAAGGCACUGGAUCUGUGUCAAAGAGCUGUACUGAGCCUCUUCCAUUUUCUUUGAACGACUUAGCAAGAAACAUAAUGUAAACUUGCUCAUGAAGUUCCUUGCAUCCUGCUGCUAUAGAAAAUGUUGUUGAUUUCAGAGAAAUGUUGUGGAUGGAGUUGUUCUGAGCCAUGGAGGCUAAGUACUGCAUGUGCAGGUUUGUUGCAGGAUACCUGGGUGGCCUGAGGCUGAUGUACCUUGCCUGUUGUGACUUAGUUCUUAUGGACCUCCACACAUUUUUGUUUCUAGAUCAAUGGUUCUCAAACUCAUUAAAUGACUCAAGGCACCACUUGGAAAAUGCCAGCUCUUAGCCCCCUCUUAUUUUUGGUGCAUCCCCUUCCCUGCGAAACAAGUUAUUCCCACUCGGGGUGGGCAGCUCCGUCUACAGCCUGUGACCCAGGGCCAAAUUUGGAGCUGAGCAGCAGCCUGCCUCUAGGUUGGAAGUAGAAUGCAAGAUGUCUCCCUCCUUGCUGCCUCCCCCCCACACACACACACUGAUGGGGGUGGGGGAGGAGGGCAGGCAGGAGGACAGACUUCAUCUUGGAUUCAAGUGAAUAAGGUGUUUCCCAGUAUGCUUCCUUGGUGACCUGUCCAGUGUCUGUAUGCUUUCUUUUUGCAUUUGAGGCAUCCUAGAAGCUCCUUGCGUAGCCACAUUUGUCUCGUACCAUUCUUUUUACACUUUAAUUUUGUCGGAACAGUUUCUUGUUAGGCUUCCAGUACUGUGCCCUUUAGAAGCUUCCAGCCCUCCUUGCACCUAUAUCCUUCAUUCUUUGUUUCUAUGGCACCAUGCUUGUUAACCGCUUGAAUUAACUGAAGUGUACUUUUUUUUUAAAUCCAAUGUCCUAGUUCUGCUGACCAAGCUUCCCCAUCUCAGGAUCUUUAAUUCUAUCAUACCGUGAUCACUUCCACCCAAGUUUUCCAUCACCUUCAAAUUUUCGACCAGUUUUCUUCGUCGGGACAAGAUCCAAAAUAGAUGAUCCCCUAGUUGUUUCUGGAACAGAAAAGUUCCCUCUACACAAACUAGAAAGCUGCUUGACAUUUUAUGUUUGGCUAUAUUAAUCCAGCAGAUGUCUGGAAAAUUGAAGUCUCCCAUCAGUACCAUUUCAUAACUUUUGAAUAAUUCUCACAUCGUCAACAGUACCUCAUCCACUUCUUCCUGAUUUGGUGGAUUAUAUCUGUAAUAUAUCUCACUGUUAUAUUAUUGCUGUACCUUUUAUCUUCUCCCAAAUACAGUUUGAUCUACCUUCAUUUUGAGCCAGGGAACAGGCCUAUCUAUUUUUGACAUACAAGGUGUGGAAGAAAUCAAACUUCGCGUUGUGGUUGUAUUAGAAUUGGCAGAGCCAUCUAGGUUUAUUUAAAGCUAUACAAGUGAUCACAAGGAAGGUUCUCAAAGGAACUCUGACCUCUACAAGUUUACAAGUGUAUUUAUACUUUAGACAGCGAGAAAAGAUGCAGGGUUCAGACAAAGCAACCUUGAGAGAAACAGAAAGCUGUUGAUCAUUCGUUUGUCCACGCGUAAGCUGUUACUUUUUCAGCAAACACGUUGUGUUUUGGGAACAGCUAUCAGUGUUGUGGUUGGUUUUUGGGUUUUUUUGGUUCCUGGAAAGGAGGAGGUUAACAUUUGCACACAGACAAAACAAGGCAUGAAGGUUUUUCCUUACCGUAGAACACUUUAAAACACAUAGCAUCAGCAUCUUUUUCAGGAACUAGGUAGAGCCCUUCUUCCUUUCCCGAAGGGCAUAGUGGUGUCGUUGGGGUACAUUUUUUCCGUUCUGUAGUGGUAAAUCCUCUUUGCUCUGUAGUGACAAAUCCUCUUCGCCAGUAGGCGCUUGGCUCACUACUGGUCUUGAGCUAUCUUGUUGGCAGGUGCUAAGCUCACUACCAGUCUCUGGAGGCUGAUUAGAAGGUUGAUAUAGAGGAGACUCUAAGUCUAACGGGGCUGAUGUUUUCUUAGGGUGUGAAGCAUGGAUCCAUGUUUGGAGUCCUUGACACUUUAUUGCAGUGUUGGUUGUCAGGAGUAGCUGGAAUGGGCCUUUCCAGCGAUGACUUCUGUUGAUGGACUUUUACAUAAACCCAGUCACCAGACAGGAUGGAAUGGCAUGGCUCAUCUGGUUCCUUGGGGAGAGUUGCUUGUACCUGUGAAUGAAAAGCCUUAACACAAUUCAUUAGUGCCGUACAGUAGUCAAGAAUAGUAUCAUCAAGUAAAUGCAUAUUGCAAAAGUGGGAGGCAACAGGUGGUGAGGCGGGGAUCCUCAUGGGUCUUCCUAUCAGGAUUUCAUGUGGGCUAAGUCCGGUCUUUCGAUUGACAGUAGAUCUCAUACUCAUAAGGGCUAUGGGAAGUGCAUCUGGCCAUUUUGAGUGAGUUUCAGCACAAAUUUUGGCCAGUUUAUUUUUUUUUAAAUGACAUUUUGGCCUGUGGAUGGUACGGGCAAUGAAAGUCCUGCAAAUCCAGCAAAACUUUGCAGACUUCUUUCAUUACUUGCCCAGUAAAAUGAGUUCCUCCAUCGGAGUUUAUGGAUAAAGGGAUACUAAACCUUGGAAUAAAGUCUCCGAGCAACUUUUUGCUCACAGUGAUGGUAUCAGCUUUUGCACAUGGGUAGGCUUCUACCCAUCCAGAGAACAUACAUACAAUAACAAGAACAUAUUCAUAAGAACAACAUUUCUGCAUUUGAAUAAAAUCUAUUUGUAAAUUUACAAACGGCCCCCAAGGUGGGGGAUGUGCUGCUUUUUUUUUGUUUUUACAGGCUUUCCUACAUUAUGGGCUUGACAAAUAGGGCAGGUAUAACAGUAUUGUUGAACCACAGAUGAAAAAGUUUGGAGCAAAUCAAUUAAGCUUAACAGCUUCUAUCAUCCUCCCUUUGCUCACGUGUGCUAUGCUGUGGUGUAUGCAAGCAAGAUAGGGAAGAAGGACCGUUGGGGCAACCAGGUGGCCAUCCGGGGAACGGCACAAAUGGUCAGGGUGUAACAAACACCCAGCCAGUCUCCACAUAUUUUUCUGGUUCUGGAGCCUGAUCUUGGAGGAGGGCAAUGUCAUGAAGACUUGCCAAUGGAGACUGGUUAGUUGAGAUAGACAAAAACACAGGUGUAGCCUGAGGAGUGGAAAUAGCCACAGCUUUGGCAGCGGAGUCUGCCAGAGCAUUCCCACGUGUAACAUCAUCAUACGGUUUCUGGUGAGCUUGGCAUUUAAUAAUAGCAACAGCAGGAGGUAACUAAAGCAUUUAACAAGGCAUUUACAUAUGGACCCUUACUAAUUUUGGCACCUCCUGACGUGACGAAGCCUCUUUGCUUCCAAAGUUGACCAUAACCGUGUACAAUACCAAAGGCAUAGCGAGAAUCAGUGUAAAUAUUAACGGGUACCAUAGGCUAGGGUGCAAGCCCUGGUAAGGGCCACAAGCUCAGCAGCUUGAGCUGAAUACACAUUGGGCAAGUGAUGGCUUUAUAUAACAUCAUAUUGGGAACAUACUGCAUAUCCUGCAACAAGAGAACCUUUUCAGUUUCUUUGACAUGAUCCAUCAACAUAAAAUACUAGAUUUGGGUUUUGUUUCUAGUGGGUUAUGGAAUAGAGAAAAUCUCACACAAGUUACUGAUUCACAAUUCAUACAGCACAAUUUUAUUUUAAAAUUCUUUGCUACACAUAUAACACUGCUUAGCUUUAAGAAAUACCACAAACAUUAAGAACACAAUAACUACAUAUAUCAGAAACAAUGCUCCAAAUGUACUUCCUUCUCAAACAAUGCUAUAAGAAUUAGUAUUACAAAACAACUACAAUUACAACUCAAAGUUAAAUUUGAAUCAAUACUAUUAUUUUCAUAAUACACUUACAAUCCUAGAAUUCCGAGAAGCCAAACACCUAAAUAUGCUUUCAUUCCUCAGUAGUACAAUUUAAUGGGUUGGCCUCAGUAGUACGGCUCAAUGGGCUCGCCUCAGCAAUACGAUUCAAUGGGCUGGCCUCAAUACUGAUAGGACUAAGUCCCCUUCAGUCCCUUUCGGGUGCUCCGCGGCUUCAGCAUGAACUAAGAGAUUUGUGUUCACGGAGAGAGUGGUUCAGGUGAUCAGUCUGAUCCGGCCUACGCUUGCGAUUCUUCCUUUGUUGUUCUGCAAGUGAGGUUACCUCCAAAUUGGAACAGUAGGUUACAGUUUUUAUUGAGUGAGUUGCCGUCUUGGGCCCCUUCUACCCAAACCUGUCGCUGCUCCCAAAUUUGGGCUCAGAUCUUACUUAACAGAUUCUUUUGCUUGGUAAUUAGUUUUUUUUGUUGAUCAUUUUAAUUACUUUGAGGAAUUUCCUUUCUUUCCAGUCUUUUCAAAGGCUCCUAGGGUUUGAUUUCUCGGAAUGUGGGAUGUUUGCUUAAGGGUCAUUUUUAUGUUAACCGUUAAAGGCCUCUAAAGAUAAAAUUCAAAAGUUAAGACUUUGAGGAAAGUCAGGACCUUCCACACGUAGACCAAAACAAUGGCCUAGAUAAGAUGAAUCUUGUCUUCUUCCUAAACUGGCUAAUGGGCAACUAUUAUAAACAUUCAAAUAUUACAUUCAAUAUGACAGGUUUUGCAAGGGGAUGUCCUUUAGAUCAGUGCAGGGCAUUGUUAGGUGGGCAGUAACAGCAAUACAAUCAUGGGGUUUACCAUCUGAAGGAGUAGGCUUGACUAUAGAGGCAUAGCCAAGUAUCCACUGGCAGCAGUAGCCAGCCAUGCCUAGGAAAGUACGCAUUUGGGAUACAGUAGUUAGUCUAGGGGUUUUAAGAAUAGUUUCUAUCCUGGAAGAAGAAAGCAGUCGUUCUCCAGCCGAAAUAUCAUGACCCAAAUAGUGGACACGAGGGAGACAAAGUUGUAGAUUUCUUUAGAUGCCUUAUGGCCUUUUAGGGCAAGAGAGGUGAGGAGAGUUAAAGCCUGUAAAGCUGAUUCUUUAAGGGAGGUAGAUGCCAAGAGCAGAUCAUCAACAUACUGCACAAGCACAGAAUUUUCUUUAAAUAUGAUGUCAUCUAAAUCCUCCAGAAGUUGAGAAAAAAGAGAAGGGGAUUCAGUAUAGCCUUGGGGCAAUUGAGUCCAGGUAUACUGAAGUCCCUGAUAGGUGAAUGCAAAGAGAAACUGGCUAUCAAGGUGUAUAGGGAUAGAGAAAAAUGCAGAACACAAGUCAACAACAGUAAAAAUAACAGGCAUUAGGAGGAGUACAGGACAAGAUAGUGGCUGGAUUUAAUCUAAUUUUUACAAGCUGGGCAGUAUGGAUUUGCCCUACUUAAUUAGCAUGUUGAGACCAGAGAAACAGAGGGACAGCCUUUAUGAUUUCCUCUUGUAACACAGAAAGAUUAGGGGACUCAGGCGGUGAGCUAGCUAGGGUAGCAAGCACAGCCAUUUCAUUAACACAGGGAACAUCUAAAUAAACACCAUUUGGAGAACAAUAAAUAGUACAGCUGAGCUUACAAAGCAAAUCUCUGCCCAACAAAUGAACAGGAGAACAAGGACUGAGCAGAAAAGCAUGUUGAACAGAAGCAGGGCUAAAAGAAACAUGUAAGGGUUGGGAAACAGGAUGAGGACUAUCUGAUUUGAAAUUCCUACAGCGUUUACAACAGCAGAGGAGAGGGGAGUUGUAGAAAAUUCUUCAGCUCGGAGAGUAGAGCGACUUGUGCUGGUAUCUACUAAACAUUUUGUAGGAGUGCCACUUAUUAAACAGGAAACAAAGGGAUCCUCUUGAUUAAGUGAGAGAAGCGGGACUGUGAUGAUGUUAUCAUUCCUCAGGCUGUUCUUAACAGGAAGCUUCUUGGUUCGGGACAGAAAAUUGAGUGAGAGGAGGUGGUGGCUGGUUAAAUGUCAUCCCUGGCUGGCCAGGCCGGUGAGGACAUGGAGCCUUCCAGUGUCCUGGUUGGCCACAAUAAUAACAACUGUCAUUAUUUUGGGACUGAAAUUCUCGUCCCAUCCCACGACCAUGUCCCCUGCCUCUGAAUUGUCCUCGACAGAAACCUCGGCUUCUACCUCUGCCUAAAGUCUGUAUUUGUAAAGACAUUAGCUUAGUUUCUGUGGAUUCCUUUUUCUUGGCAGGCUGUACAGUGAUUAGCAACGGUGACUAUUUCUGUAAGCGUCUUAGUCUGCCCACCUACAGCAAUUGUACGUAGAUGUUCCUGGACUUUAGAAAGAAGUCCUUGGACAAAAGCGGCGGCAACUGCUUCUGGGGCAGUUUCAGCUUCAUCUUCAAUGCUAGAAUGUCUUUCAAAUAUGAGUUUCAAGCGAUCCAUGUAGUCUGCUGGGGAUUCUUCUCUGUUUUGCUUACAGUUAUUUAUUUUGGCCCAGUCAGUUUUCCUGGGGUAGAUUUUAAGCACGGACUCAAGAAGGCAUUCUCGGGCACUUACUAAGCGACCUCCCAUUCCGGGGUCUUGAGAAGGCCAAUUAGACUGUGCAAUGAGGUGGUUACGGACCUCAGAGGGCAGAACAUUUCUCAUUAAUUGGUUUAAAUCUGCCCAUGUUGGUUCAUAACAAUUGAUUACAGUUUCCAAUUCCUCUCUAAACUUCUGGGGUUCUUCCCUGAUAUUGGGGAAUUGCUUAACAGGGUUUAGGAGAUCUCCUGGGACUGGUAUGGGGGUAGCACACUAAAAAAUCAAUUAUGUCUUCUACAGAUUCAUUCUCAGUCAAUUGUGGAUAAAGUUGUGUUGGUGCUGAUAAUGUUGUUGAUGGGGGAUCCCCUAUUGGUGCAUUUUUCUGUUUUAUUUCCUUUAUCUGAGAUUUUAGUUUUUCUUGGGAGUCCUUAAGGCUCUGAACUUGAGAUUCUUGACGUCUUUUGGAAGCUUCUGUAUACUAAUCAAAAAAUGUUUCCCACUGAGUCUGGUGUUUUACUGCCUCUUGACUCAAAGGCUCCGCGGAGAUGAAAGAUUACUUAAAUCAAAUGUUCCCUCCAGGGGAAACUGCAAGCUAGAAUCAUCUCUGGUAUACCCAUUCCAUUUGUCUAGAAACGUACAACUUUUAUGGCCAUAGUGUGUGUACAUGUACAAUGCUGGAGUCCCUUUUUGCGGAGCGGGUACGUCUUUAGACCCUCCGCUCCCCAUGUCUUUAACUUCAAUUCACACAGGUCUUUCACACAGGAGAGAGGCUUAUUGAGGGUGUCCGGUCAGGUUGUGAGAUUUGCUAGUUGCACAGGAAUGCUGUGGCUAAUGUCUAUAGCACCGGCACACAGCACAGUAACUCGCUGUUAGACACAGCUCAUUCAUGAGAGUGGGGGUAGGGAAAAUUCGUCACACAACCCUGAUCUCCUUCAGUUGAAGAGUUUCCACCUUGCACCCUUGCUUUCGAAGAGCACACAGAACAAGUACAGCCGCCCCGAGGACGCCAAACAAGGUUUCCACUCCUAGCUUCAGAAAGACCUCAUAGUUCUUUACAGAACUUAAUUCACCCGGGGAAACACAUUCAUUGACAACAGCAACACAGUUUCAAACUCUUUUCUACUCACAGUUCCUACUUACAUAGCGGGUCUGACAAUUCUGGCAGCAAAAGGGUUGGGUAGGGUAAGCCUCAAGCAGUGAACAGGAAGACACACACAGGCAGUCUCUCACUGAAAAGCCCCAACAGAGAUUUCAAAAGGUCUCUUACCUUAGUUUGGCACUGGGGCAUCAGUGAGGAGAUGGUCUGUAUCUCAACUGAUCACUACAGGCAUCUCUAUCCGAGUCAUGGCACCAAAUUGUGAAAGAAAUCAAACUUUGCGUUGUGGUUGUAUUAGAAUUGGCAGAGCCAUCUAGGUUUAUUUAAAGCUAUACAAGUGAUCACAAGGAGAGUUCUCAAAGGAACUCUGACCUCUACAAGUUUACAAGUGUAUUUAUACUUCAGACAGUGAGAAAAGAUGCAGGGUUCAGACAAAGCAACCUUGAGAGAAACAGAAAGAUGUUGAUCAUUCAUUUGUCACACGUAAGCUGUUUACUUUUUCAACAAACACGUUGUGUUUUGGGAACAGCUAUCAGUGUUGUGUUUUCUUUUUGUUUUUGGGUCCUGGAAAGGAGGAGGUUAACAGCUGCACACAGACAAAACAAGGCAUGAAGGUUUUUCCUUAUCUUAGAACAUUUUAAAACACAUAGCAUCAGCAUCUUUUUCUCUUCUUUUUCUCUCUCUUAGUCAAGUAAGAGGCCUGGUUAAACUUAUUUCCACAAAGGCAAUGCCACCACCUUUUCUCUGAACCCUGUCCUUUUAGGGCUCUGCGAAAUUUCACCGGGUGUUUCAUUUUGACAUUAUUUCGACUCGUUUCAAGCUCAAAACAGUGAAAUUGAAAUUAAAUGAAAGACUUAGAAACAAAAUGAGGACACUCAAAACAUUUUGAAAGUUUUGAGUUGCAAAGCUGGGCUUGCUUGCAGGGAAACAAAGUAAGGAGAGGGAGGGGGUAGAGUGGAGGAGGACUGCUCUGAUGUUGUCGUGUAGCUGGCCAGAGACUGUGAUCCUUCCCUGAGGUCCCUUCCAAUCCCAGUGCUCUGGGGUAGGCAUGGAAAAACAGCUGUACUUUAACACACACACACACACACACACACACAGUCAUACAUGUCACGAGUUUUGCUCGUCAGCAGCUUCAGGUUCAGUUUUCCAGAAACCCCUGUAUCUAUCGCCUUGGAAGUUGGCAGGCAUCAUGGCCUGCCCCUUUUGUGAAGGGGUUAUGAAACGGAAGUCAAAAUGAAACGGUGCUGUUUCGCAUAGCCCUACUAUCCUUCUGAAACAGUGUUGGCAUUCCAGUCAUAAGAGCCAUCCCACCAAUCGAACCAUAGUUUUAUCUCCAGCUGUGAUUUUUAGCUCAUUUUGCUUGUUGUCCAUACGUCUUGCUUUUGCACUCUUGAUAGAGUCCUCAUCCUGAGACUGUCUGUCCAUUGUCCAAAGAAUCCAAAGCUUUCAUGUUGACACCACCCUCUUAGCCACAUGCUUACUUCCAUCACAAUACAAGGCACUCCCUCUCAGAACUUUAGAUGGGAUUUAAAGAGCAUUGUUGGGAAAAACUCAGGGAGUUGAAAUGACUUGGUUAGCUUCUUUAAUGUGCUGUUAUUCAUAGCAGCAUUCCUCAUCUGCCAUUUGGAGUCCCCACAUGAGCCAGAGAACUUUGUUGCAGAAUUUUAUUUCCUAUUGACUUGGGCCUCUACGUUUUAAUUGUUUUUCUGGACCUGUUUAUGUUAAAUGUUUUAUCCUUCCUCUUUCCAGGAUUUCAUUCUAAACCUCUUCUAUAAUGUGAUGCUGUGUUACAAUAGCAGAGCUCUGGGUUUAUCUUGUGAGCCUUAUGUAGGUGUUUUCUUUCCUACAAGCACUCAUAUUGCACAACACCCUAGUUGAGAACCACUUUGUUAGACCAGGGGUGACAAAGAUGUAGUCCAUGAGCUGGAUCCAGCAUGCCAAGCCAUAUUGUCCAGCUCGCACGAUUCCCCACGGGUGUGGAGAUUAGGCACCAGGAGGACUGGUAUUAAUUGCCAGAGUUCCUGGAGCUACAGUAGUUAAUGUUGCUAUUGCUUGUGCUGCUCCAAAAUUUGUAAUUUCCCAAUCCCAUGGGCAGAUGACCCCACUCACAUGCUGGAAUGGCCCAUGGGGCUGUAUGAAUUGAGCACCACUAUAUUAGACUGUUUGGCAAAGACACUAGAAGCUGUAACCUCAUUGCUUAGACAAGUCAGGAAAUUGUCCUAAACCUAAAAGCAAGGUACUCUGUGUGCAUUGGAUUCCCAAACUGCACAAUAAGGAUGACUGAAAACGCACAAGGUAAAAGGACACACAGUACCUUUGUGUCUCUUCUAAAGAACUUAUCCUCUGGCAAGACCAGUCCUUUGCACUUCACUUUUAAGUAUUUAAAUAUUUGAUGUCUGAAUUUUUAACAUGGACUAUUUUAACUAUAUCUUUUGUGUUGGAUAAGUAGGUCACAUUCUCUAGGUGCAUCUACAAAAGGCAUUUACUGUAUAGCUGCCUAAUUAGCUUGGCAGUAAAUAUCUCUGCAUCUACAUGUGCAACCUUUUUAGGUUGUAACAAAGUACUAAACGCUGUGGAAGGUUAGUAUUAGUACUUGUAAAUACAAGUACUAUCUUGUGGCAGAGGUUUUUUUGGAUGUGUUCAAAUCAGCAGGUCCUGACGAUCUCCACCCCAGAGUGUUGAGAGACUUAGCAGAGGUCAUUGCGGGAACCCUGGCACAGCUUUACGAGCACUCAUGGUGCUCUGGCGAGGUGCCAGAGGACUGGAAAAGGGCCAAAGUGGUCCCCAUUUUCAAAAAAGGGAAGGAGGACCCAGGAAAUUGUAGGCCUGUUAGUCUUACCUCGGUCCUGGGGAAGCUCUUUGAGAAAAUUAUCCAGGUGCACAUCUGCGAGGGGUAAGCAGAGGAGUGUAUGCUUAGGGGCAACCAACAUGGGUUCAUUAGAGGCAGGUCCUGUCAGAUCAACCUGGUGGCCUUCUACGACCAGGUCACAAAGUCCUUGGAUGCAGGUGUCGCGGUGGACAUAGUCUUUCUUGGACUUUAGGAAGGCCUUCGCCACUGUCUCUCACCCCAUUCUCAUUAAAAAAACUAGGAAACUGUUGUGUCGAUGCCUACACAGUCAGAUGGAUCAUCAAUUGGCUAGAAGGCCGCACCCAGAGAGUGGUGGUAGAUGGGUCAUUUUCGACCUGGAGGGAUGUGGGCAGUGGGGUCCCCCAGGGCUCGUUCCUCGGGCCCGCACUGUUCAAUAUCUUCAUCAGUGACUUGGAUGAAGGGGUGAAAAGCACCUUGUUCAAAUUCGCAGAUGACACUAUGACGUGGGGAGAAGUGGGCAAGCUAGAAGGGAGGCACAGGCUGCAAUUAGAUCUGGACAGGUCACAGGGGUGGGCAGAUGAGAAUAAGAUGGGAUUAAGUACUAACAAGUGGAGGGUGUUGCACCUAGGGAGAAAGAACCAGCAGCAUACCUACAGGCUGGGGAACUGCCUUCUCAUCAGAUUUUCAUAGAUUUCAUACACGUUAGGGCUGGAAGGGACCUCGGAAGAUCAUCGAGUCCAGCCCCCUGCCCAAAGGGCAGGACGUCAGCUGGGGUCUUAGGAUCCCAGCAAGAUAAGCAUCCAGUUUCAUCUUGAAGGUGUUCAAUGAAGGCGCUUGAACAACCUCCGGCGGCAGGCUGUUCCAGACCUUGGGGGCUCGGACAGUAAAGAAAUUCUUCCUUAUGUCCAGCCUGAAACGAUCUUGUAGUAGUUUGUGACCAUUCGUCCUCGUCAUCCCUUGGGGCGCUCUGGUGAACAAACGUUCCCCCAGAUACUGGUGAUCACCCCUGAUAAACUUGUAGGUGGCCAUCAGAUCACCCCUGAGCCUGCGCUUUUCCAGGCUAAAGAGCCCCAGGGCUCUCAGCCUGUCAUCGUAGGGUCUGCUUCCCUGACCCCUGAUCAUGCGCGUGGCUCUUCUCUGGACUCUCUCAAGCUUCUCCACAUCCUUUUUGAAUUGUGGAGCCCAAAACUGGACGCAGUACUCCAGCUGCGGCCUCACAAAGGCCGAGUACAGGGGGAGAAUGACGUCCCGGGAUUUGCUUGAGAAGCAUCUAUGGAUGCAAGCCAGCGUUUUGGUCGCUUUACUAGCCGCAGCAUCGCAUUGCAGGCUCAUGUUCAUCUUGUGAUCAAUGAUGACCCCCAAGUCUCUUUCUUCCAUAGUGCUAACCAACAUAGCACUGCCUAGCCUAUAAGGAUGCUGCGGGUUUUUCUUCCCAAGGUGGAGAACCUUGCAUUUAUCGGCAUUGAACACCAUCAGAUUUUCAUCUGCCCACUUGCUGAGCCUGUCCAGGUCAGCCUGGAUCACCCGCCUGUCUUCUGGCGUGGAUGCUUUGCCCCAAAGUUUGGUGUCAUUGGUGAACUUGGCCAGUCCGCUUCUGACUCCAGUGUCCACAUCAUUAAUGAAGAUGUUGAACAGUAUGGGUCCAAGGACAGAGCCCUGGGGGACCCCACUGGUCACAGGACACCACGAUGAGUGACUUCCAUCAAUUACUACCCUCUGGGUCCGACCCCGGAGCCAAUUUUCCAGCCAGUGGAUCGUGGGGGACCCAAGGCGACAAUUGGCCAGUUUCUCCAAGAGACGAUCAUGGGACACCAGAUCGAAGGCUUUUUUGAAGUCAAGAUAUAUGAUAUCAAUCUCAUCUCCCUUGUCCAGGUGAUAGGUCACCUGGUCAUAGAAGGAAAUGAGAUUGGUCAAGCAAGACCUACCCGCAACAAAUCCGUGCUGGCUAUCCCUUAAGAUGUUGGCGUCGGCCAGUCCAUUAAGGAUGGCCUCCUUAAUAAACUUUUCUAAGAUCUUCCCCGGGAUAGAAGUCAGGCUGAUGGGCCUAUAGUUAGCCGGAUCCACUUUCCUCCCUUUCUUGAAGAUAGGCACCACGUUGGCCUUCUUCCAGUCUUCGGGCACUACACCAGAGCGCCAAGAGUUUUCAAAGAUCCGCGCUAGAGGCUGGGCUAUGAUGCUCGCCAGCUCCUUGAGUACCCUGGGGUGAAGAUUGUCAGGGCCGGCUGACUUGAAGGUAUCCAGCUUCUCAAGAUGUUCCUUCACAAAGUCAGCAUUAAUGGAGGGCAGGGGAUCACCCUCACCCGGACUUCCCGGCCCUGUAGCAGGCACAGGCGUCCCAUGGGGCUGAUGAAAGACCGACGCAAAGUACCUAUUUAAUAGGUUGGCUUUUUCCUGGGCGUCAGUUGUCAGUUGCCCCAUCUGGUUCAGCAGGGGUCCAACGUUGCCCCUGCUUUUCCUCCGGCUCCCCACAUAUCUGAAAAAGGACUUUUUAUUGUCCUUGAUGCUCAAAGCUAGCUGGAGUUCAGUUGCAGCCUUGGCUUUCCUGGUCUGCUCCCUACAGGACCGGACCAGUGCAGAAUAAUCCUCCUUGGAGGUGACUCCCAUCCUCCAUCCUUUGUAGGCCUUUCUUUUUAGCCUCAGGAGGUCUGCUAGGUCCCUGGAGAGCCAGGGGGGCUGCUGUGCCCUCUUGCUGCCUUUCCUCCGAGAUGGAAUAGACUUAGUUUGUGCAUUGAGGAUCGCUCCCUUGAGGAGCAACCACUCUUCUUGAACUCCCCUCUCCCUGCGGUGAGGUCCCUUAGGGCCUCACUGACAAGCCUCCUGAGCUUGUCAAAGUCGGCUUUCCUGAAGUCAAGGACUUGCGUGUUGCUGACUGACUUGCCAGCUUUUCGGCAGAUGGUGAAGGUGAUCAGCUCGUGGUCGCUGUCACCCAGCUUCCCAUCGAUCACUAGGUCGCCGACUAGGUCCUCCCCAGUAGCCAGCACCAGGUCGAGCAGCGCUUUGCCUCUCGUUGGCCCAUAGACUUCUUGAGUCAGGUAGAGGUCACCCACGCACGAGAGGAAGCUCUGCGACCGCUCAGAUUUUGCUGAGCGAUCCUCCCACGAGAUGUCUGGGUAAUUGAAGUCACCCAUGACAACCAUGGUCCUGGAGCAAGCUGCCUCAGCCAGUUCCUGGGCAAACUCCUGGUCUAGCUCAGGACUUUGGGUGGGAGGUCUGUAAUAGACUCCCACCAUUGUGUCCCCUGUGCCGUGUUCCCCACGGAUUUUAACCCAGAGGGUCUCCAGCCGUCCACCCUGGUCGCCAAUAUCGGCUUGCAGGGACACGUAGCUUUCCUUAACAUAGAGAGCUACACCCCCGCCCCUUUUCUCUACACGAUCCCUCCUGUACAGGGUAUAGCCAUCUAUCCCCGUGGUCCAGUCAUGGGUGGAGUCCCACCAGGUCUCCGUUAUCCCUAUGACAUCGUAAUUGUUUGCACUGAGCAGGAGGAUGAGCUCCUCCUGCUUAUUCCCCAAGCUCCUGGCAUUUGUAUACAGGCAGGCAAGCGCCCCCUGGGGGGCUCCUUCCUUGCCCACAGAUUUUACCAGGGCUGGGGCUGGGGCGGGCUCCCUUAAGUGCCAUGAUCCGCUGGCUUUGCAAGAUUUGCUCAGCGGGCCAGCAGUGGCGGUCGUGCCCCCGUCCCCCAGCGGGCUUAGUUUAAAGCCCGGUGGAGCAGGUCAGCCAGUCUGGCUGAGAAGAGCCUCCUCCCUAGGGGAGAGAGGUGGAAACCAUCUCUUCCCAGCAGCUCGCUGCCUCUCUCGCCAAAGAGCGGGCUGUGGUUAUGAAAGCCAAAGCCUUCCUGAUGACACCAGCGCUGCAGUCUUUGGUUGACCACAUAGAUCCUCCUGUCCCUUCUCAGCCCAUAGCCUGAGACUGGGAGGAUCGACGAGAACACCACCUGUGCCCCCAGACCCUUAAGCCCCGCUCCCAAAUCCCACACAGCACAGAGGCAGAAAAGGAUCUUGGAGUCAUUAUAGACCCCAAGAUGAACAUGGGCUGCCAAUGUGGGGAUGCAGUCAGGAAGGCUAACCGCACCUUGUCAUGCAUCCACAGAUGCAUCACAGGCAGGUCCAAGGAGGUGAUCCUUCCCCUCUAUAUGACAUUGGUCAGGCUGCAGUUGGAGUACUGCGUCCAGUUCUGGGCACUGCACUUCAGGAGGGAUGUGGACAACAUGGAGAGGGUCCAGAGGAGGGCCACUUGCAUGAUCAGGGGGCAGCAGGGCAAGCCUAUGAGGAGAGGCUACGAGACAUGAACCUGUUCAGCCUCCACAAGAGAAGGCUGAGAGGGGAUGUAGUGGCUGUCUAUCAGCUGGCCAAGGGAGACCAGCAGGCAAUGGAAGAGUCCCUUUUCCCCCCCAAGCACUACUGGGAGUAACAAGGAACAAGGAAUAAUGACCAUGACAGAGAGUGGAUUCAGGCUAGAUAUAAGGAGGCACUACUUCACAGUCAGGGUGGCUAGGAUCUGGAACCAACUUUCAAGGGAAGUGGUGCUCGCUCCUACCUUGGGGGUCUUCAAAAAGAGGCUAAACAGUCACCUAGCCGGGGUCAUUUGACCCCAGCAUUCUUUCCUGCCCAUUGCAGGAGGUCGGACUUGAUCUGCUCCGGUCCCUUCCACCCCUACCAACUAUAAAACUAUGAAACCUGGUGGCCUUCUACGACCAGGUCACAAAAGCCUUAGACACAGGUGACGUGUUGAGCGUAGUCUUUCUGGACUCUAGGAAGUCCUUUGACACUGUAUCUCACCCAUUCUCAUUAAAAAACUAGGCGACUUUGGUGUCGAUGCCUACAUGGUCAGAUGGGUUGCUAAUUGCCUGGAGAGCUGCAUCCAGAGGGUGGUGGUGGACAGGUCAUUUUUGACCUGGAGGGAUGUGGGUAGUGGGGUUUCCUAGGGCUCAGUCCUUGGGCCCGCACUGUUCAACCUUUUCAUCAAUGACUUGGAUGAGGGGGUGAAAAGCACCUUGUUCAAAUUUGCAGACGACACUAAGAUGUGGGGAGAAGUGGGCACACUAGAGAAGAGCGACAGGCUGCAAUCAGAUCUGGACAGGUUACAGGGCUGGGUGGAUGAGAACAGGAUGGGUUUCAAUACAGACAAGGGCAAGGUACUGCACCUGGGGAGGAAGAACUAGCAGCAUACCUACAGGCUGGGGAGCUCCCUUCUCAUCAGCACAGAGGCAGAAAAGGAUCUUGGAGUCGUUGACUCCAAGGUGAAUAUGGGCCGACAAUGUGGGGACGCAGUCAGGAAGGCUAACCGCACCCCUUCGUGGAGCACACCCACUAGCCUGGGGGUAACACUGCCACCACCCAGGGAUGGGCUUGAUUCUGGCUCUGUGCACCCUGGGAAACACAGGCCUAGUAGCCCUUGAGGGUACUUGACCCACUUCAAGUACUUGGGGGUGCUUCUCUCAGUCAGAAGCACAAGUAAUGGUCUCCCUUAGUCAGCUGAACCAAGGGGACCUCAAGACAAUCUAGACCCACUCCCAUGCUAGGUACAAAGGAGAACUUUAUUGGUUACAAGGGGUAGGUUUGGAAUAGGGUACAGGGUAGACCAAUAUCAGAGAGCAAACUGGCAUGGCUGGGUAGCUGUUGAUCACGCAUCUGAGUUACUGCAAGCUAUAUAUCUAGUUAGAUCUCAGGUACCUUACUCACAAAUAUCAUCCAGAGGCAGGUGGCGAUUCCGUCUGGAGGCGGCAGUUCCUUGAUCAUGAGUUUUGAGAGAGAGAGCAAGUUCCAGAUGGUCCAGCUUCUCUCUCUCUGAGUCUUCCUCAUGGCUGCUGCCUCUUCCUCCUGGGCAGUCCUUAACUUAUAUAGCCCUUUUGACCUCGUUUACCUGGUCUAAUGGAGGCCAGCACCUGUUGGGUGUCAGCCAACCAAUUUGAAAUGCAUCACUAAUUGCUGGGCAGACUGGUAGUUCCUAGCUUCCCAGGGAGUCCAAGCCCCUCACCCAGGUAUGUGAUGCCAGUCACGUGGGCAGAGGGAGUAGGUUUCCCCUCUCCCUCAGGAAUGUACCCAGCUCAGGUUACCUAAAGAGAUAGGGUAAGGUGUGUACCCUCUGCAGGGCCCAUCUGAACCAAAUUGUCACAGAGCAGAGUUUUUGGGAAGAAACGGAGGUGGCCUUCUGCCACACGGACAGCAUCAAGAGGGUCUAGAGGGGGGCCACUCGCAUGAUCAGGGGGCAGCAAGGCAGGCCCUACAAGGAGAGGCUACAGGACUUGAACCUGCUCAGCUUCCACAAGAGAAGGCUGAGAGGGGAUCUGGUGACUGCCUAUAAAUUGACCAAGGGGGACCAGCAGGCAAUGGGAGAGUCCCUGCUCCCCCGAGCACUACAGGGAGUAACAAGGAAUAAUGGCUAUAAGUUGAUGGAGAGUAGAUUCAGGCUAGAAAUCAGGAGGCACUACUUCACUGUCAGGGUGGCUAGGAUCUGGAACCAACUUCCAAGGGAAGUGGUGCUGGCUCCUACCCUGGGGGUCUUCAAAAGGAGGUUAGAUAAUCACCUUGCCGGGGUCGUCUGACCCCAGCACUCUUUCCUGCCGUGGCAGGGGGUCGGACUUGAUGAUCUGCUCAGGUCCCUUCUGACCCUACCAACUGUGAAACUGUGACAUAGAAGAUGAUCAGAGAGCUAGCUUUUUCUAAUAAUCCUGUAGGGGAGAAAACAUUUAGAUUUGAAAGGGGUGCGUGUAGUAAAAAGGAAAAAUGUACUGUUGGGUUCCAGGACAUGGGUAUACAUAAGUUAACAUGAAAUUAUGUGCUUAUUUUUGUCUCGGUUUAUGUUUCUGUGGUUUUUAAAAAUGCUUUAUUAUUUCAAGUAAUGGAAUAAAGAUUGGCUUAUAACA